RNAcentral lists this non-coding RNA (30 nucleotides) under Homo sapiens (human). Lineage: Eukaryota; Metazoa; Chordata; Mammalia; Primates; Hominidae. The record is from RNAcentral.
GUACAGAGCAGCGUCCCUUUGGUUUGGCCC